Molecule: long non-coding RNA, 720 nt
Organism: Daphnia pulicaria
Lineage: Eukaryota; Metazoa; Arthropoda; Branchiopoda; Diplostraca; Daphniidae
Exons: 2
Source: RefSeq, a predicted model, not a curated record
AGCGAUGUCUCCUUGUUAAGGGGGAAAUCAAACCGCAACGCCGCCGCCUUCCCACACAACUUACGCAAUGACCAGUUCCUGCACCGAGGUCUUCAAGUACUACACCACUAAAGCACCGGAGUUUUAUACCACAACUUAUGCUGCCCCGAGGCACUACACUGAAGCCCUGAAGUAUUACUCUGCCCUGAGUUACUACACAAUCUAGGCGAUGGAGUGCUACAUGACUACGUAUGCUGCCCAUCCUACUACACCGAGGCAUCCAAGUGCUACACCGAGGCUCCCGAUGAUUACUCCACCGAAGCGGCAAAGUACUUCUCUGCCCUGAUCUACACAACCACAACUGAGGCGGUCAAGUAUUACGCAGUCCCGAGUUGCUACCCAAAAGCUUUCGUGCUACGUUGAACAGAAAUACUACACUGAUGCUCCAGUCUACUACACCACGACCUACGCUACACCUAGCUACAACACGGCAGCUCCCAAGUACUACACCGAAGAAGCCGCCUAUUACACAACUACCUACGCUGCCUAGUUUACUACAUCGAGGAAUGUAAGUAUUACCCUGCUCCAAACUACUACCAAACUGAGGUUCAUAUUUAUUGCAAUUCUCCCGAUUAUGUCACCACUACGCACGCUGCUCCGACCUUUACACCGAAUUUAUGAAGUAUUUCUCUGGAUGUGUUGAAAGAUUGCUGGAAUACAAAAUUGAUUGAUAAAUCACAA